CCUACGGGUGGCAGCAGUGGGGAAUAUUGCGCAAUGGGGGCAACCCUGAUGCAGCGACGCCGCGUGAGCGAUGAAGUAUUUCGGUAUGUAAAGCUCUAUCAGCAGGGAAGAAAAUGACGGUACCUGACUAAGAAGCCCCUGCUAACUACGUUCCAGCAGCCGCGGUAAUACGUAGGGGGCAAGCGUUAUCCGGAUUUACUGGGUGUAAAGGGAGCGUAGACGGCUGUGCAAGGCAGAUGUGAAAGCCCGGGGCUCAACCCCGGGACUGCAUUUGGAACUGGGUGGCUUGAGUGUAGGAGAGGCAGGCGGAAUGCCUAGUGUAGCGGUGAAAUGCGUAGAUAUUAGGAGGAACACCAGUGGCGAAGGCGGCCUGCUGGACGAUGACUGACGUUGAGGCUCGAAAGCGUGGGGAGCAAACAGGAUUAGAUACCUCUGUAGUC
Molecule: ribosomal RNA, 440 nt
Filed under: uncultured bacterium
Lineage: Bacteria
Description: partial 16S ribosomal RNA
Rfam family: Bacterial small subunit ribosomal RNA
Source: RNAcentral